GGGGAAUAUUGCACAAUGGGCGCAAGCCUGAUGCAGCCAUGCCGCGUGUAUGAAGAAGGCCUUCGGGUUGUAAAGUACUUUCAGCGGGGAGGAAGGUGUUGUGGUUAAUAACCGCAGCAAUUGACGUUACCCGCAGAAGAAGCACCGGCUAACUCCGUGCCAGCAGCCGCGGUAAUACGGAGGGUGCAAGCGUUAAUCGGAAUUACUGGGCGUAAAGCGCACGCAGGCGGUCUGUCAAGUCGGAUGUGAAAUCCCCGGGCUCAACCUGGGAACUGCAUUCGAAACUGGCAGGCUAGAGUCUUGUAGAGGGGGGUAGAAUUCCAGGUGUAGCGGUGAAAUACGUAGAUAUCAACAGGAAUACCGGUGGCGAAGGCGGCUAUCUGGCUAAGCACUGACACUCAGACCCGAAAGCGUGGGGAUCAAACA
This 426-nucleotide ribosomal RNA is filed under the name uncultured Enterobacteriaceae bacterium. RNAcentral describes it as "bacterial SSU rRNA". It matches the Rfam family "Bacterial small subunit ribosomal RNA", at positions 356 to 774 of the family's 1533-position model. The record is from RNAcentral. Lineage: Bacteria; Pseudomonadati; Pseudomonadota; Gammaproteobacteria; Enterobacterales; Enterobacteriaceae.